CCUUGACAUACUAAGAACUUUCCAGAGAUGGAUUGGUGCCUUUCGGGAACUUUAGAUACAGGUGCUGCAUGGCUGUCGUCAGCUCGUGUCGUGAGAUGUUGGGUUAAGUCCCGCAUCGAGCGCAACCCUUUUCCUAUUUGCCAGCGGGUCAUGCCGGGAACUUUAAGGAUACUGCCAGUGACAAACUGGAGGAAGGCGGGGACGACGUCAAGUCAUCAUGGCCCUUACGGCCAGGGCUACACACGUGCUACAAUGGUCGGUACAAAGGGUUGCUACCUCGCGAGAGGAUGCUAAUCUCAAAAAGCCGAUCGUAGUCCGGAUCGCAGUCUGCAACUCGACUGCGUGAAGUCGGAAUCGCUAGUAAUCGCGGAUCAGAAUGCCGCGGUGAAUACGUUCCCGGGCCUUGUACACACCGCCCGUCACACCAUGGGAGUUUGUUGCACCAGAAGUAGGUAGUCUAACCGCAAGGAGGACGCUUACCACGGUGUGGCCGAUGACUGGGGUGAAGUCGUAACAAGGUAAGCGUAGAUGA
RNAcentral lists this ribosomal RNA (532 nucleotides) under uncultured bacterium. RNAcentral describes it as "bacterial SSU rRNA". It matches the Rfam family "Bacterial small subunit ribosomal RNA", at positions 979 to 1509 of the family's 1533-position model. The record is from RNAcentral.